Molecule: ribosomal RNA, 245 nt
Filed under: uncultured bacterium
Lineage: Bacteria
Description: partial 16S ribosomal RNA
Rfam family: Bacterial small subunit ribosomal RNA
Source: RNAcentral
GUGAGGUGGAGCAAAACUCAAAAACUUGUCUCAGUUCGGAUUGUAGGCUGAAACUCGCCUACAUGAAGCUGGAGUUGCUAGUAAUCGCGAAUCAGCAUGUCGCGGUGAAUACGUCCCCGGGCCUUGUACACACCGCCCGUCACACCAUGAGAGUUGGCAAUACCCAACGUACGUGAUCUAACCCGCAAGGGAGGAAGCGUCCUAAGGUAGGGUCAGCGAUUGGGGUGAAGUCGUAACAAGGUAGC